GAUGAACGCUGGCGGCGUGCCUAAUACAUGCAAGUCGAGCGAACGGACGAGAAGCUUGCUUCUCUGAUGUUAGCGGCGGACGGGUGAGUAACACGUGGAUAACCUACCUAUAAGACUGGGAUAACUUCGGGAAACCGGAGCUAAUACCGGAUAAUAUUUUGAACCGCAUGGUUCAAAAGUGAAAGACGGUCUUGCUGUCACUUAUAGAUGGAUCCGCGCUGCAUUAGCUAGUUGGUAAGGUAACGGCUUACCAAGGCAACGAUGCAUAGCCGACCUGAGAGGGUGAUCGCCCACAUGGGAACUGAGACACGGUCCAGACUCCUACGGGAGGCAGCAGUAGGGAAUCUUCCGCAAUGGGCGAAAGCCUGACGGAGCAACGCCGCGUGAGUGAUGACGGUCUUCGGAUCGUAAAACUCUGUUAUUAGGGAAGAACAUAUGUGUAAGUAACAGUGCACAUCUUGACGGUACCUAAUCAGAAAGCCACGGCUAACUACGUG
This 497-nucleotide ribosomal RNA is filed under the name uncultured bacterium. RNAcentral's name for it is "partial 16S ribosomal RNA". It matches the Rfam family "Bacterial small subunit ribosomal RNA", at positions 28 to 507 of the family's 1533-position model. The record is from RNAcentral.